CCUACGGGUGGCAGCAGUGAGGAAUAUUGGACAAUGGACGAGAGUCUGAACCAGCCAAGCAGCGUGAAGGAUGACUGCCCUAGGGGUUGUAAACUUCUUUUAUAUGGAAGUAAAAUGUUGCACGUGAGGGAUUUUGUAUGUACCAUAUGAAUAUGGAUCGUCUAACUCCGUGCCAGCAGCCGCGGUAAUACGGAGGAUCCGAGCGUUAUCCGGAUUUAUUGGGUUUAAAGGGAGCGUAGGUGGAUUGUUAAGUCAGUUGUGAAAGUUUGCGGCUCAACCGGAGAAUUGCAGUAGAAACUGGCAGUCUUGAGUACAGUAGAGGUGGGCGGAAUUCGAGGUGUAGCGGUGGAAUGCUUAGAUAUAACGAAGAACUCCGAUUGCGAAGGCAGUUCACUGGACUGCAACUGACACUGAGGCUCGAAAGUGUGGGUAGCAAACAGGAUUAGAUACCCGUGUAGUC
RNAcentral lists this ribosomal RNA (460 nucleotides) under uncultured bacterium. Its description in RNAcentral is "partial 16S ribosomal RNA". It matches the Rfam family "Bacterial small subunit ribosomal RNA", at positions 338 to 795 of the family's 1533-position model. The record is from RNAcentral.